CAUCCUUUAGGAAUUAUGAAGAAGCUCCUCUAGGGAUAACAGCAUUAUGCUUAAAAGAGUUCUUAUCAGAAUAAGCGUUUGUGACCUCGAUGUUGAAUUAAAUGCUCUUUUAUGUGCAGGAGCUUAGAAGAGACGGUCUGUUCGACCUAUUAUAUUUACAUGAUUUGAGUUAAAAUCGACGCAAGUCAGAUUGGUUUCUAUCCAGUGUAUAAAUUUUUAUUAUCUAGUAC
RNAcentral lists this ribosomal RNA (230 nucleotides) under Calanus finmarchicus. Its description in RNAcentral is "partial 16S ribosomal RNA". It matches the Rfam family "Bacterial large subunit ribosomal RNA", at positions 2439 to 2648 of the family's 2925-position model. Lineage: Eukaryota; Metazoa; Arthropoda; Copepoda; Calanoida; Calanidae. The record is from RNAcentral.